UGGGAUAGUUUAGUCGGCAGAGCAUGAAACUCUUAAUUUCAGGGUUGUGGGUGUGAGCCCCAUGUUAGACCAA
RNAcentral lists this transfer RNA (73 nucleotides) under Podarcis lilfordi (Lilford's wall lizard). RNAcentral describes it as "tRNA.Lys". The stretch from base 6 to 63 matches the Rfam family "tRNA", at positions 8 to 63 of the family's 71-position model. Rfam says of the family: Transfer RNA (tRNA) molecules are approximately 80 nucleotides in length. Lineage: Eukaryota; Metazoa; Chordata; Lepidosauria; Squamata; Lacertidae. The record is from RNAcentral.